UCUCCUUGAAAAAGGGUGGUAAUGCCGGAUGCUCCAGUUGGAUGCAUGUCCUUCUGGGAAAGAUUCAUCGGUAUGGGAUGGGGUCGCGUCCUAUCAGCUUGAUGGCGGGGUAACGGCCCACCAUGGCUUCGACGGGUAGCCGGCCUGAGAGGGCGACCGGCCACAUUGGGACUGAGAUACGGCCCAGACUCCUACGGGAGGCAGCAGUGGGGAAUAUUGCACAAUGGGCGCAAGCCUGAUGCAGCGACGCCGCGUGCGGGAUGACGGCCUUCGGGUUGUAAACCGCUUUUGACUGGGAGCAAGCCCUUCGGGGUGAGUGUACCUUUCGAAUAAGCACCGGCUAACUACGUGCCAGCAGCCGCGGUAAUACGUAGGGUGCAAGCGUUAUCCGGAAUUAUUGGGCGUAAAGGGCUCGUAGGCGGUUCGUCGCGUCCGGUGUGAAAGUCCAUCGCUUAACGGUGGAUCCGCGCCGGGUACGGGCGGGCUUGAGUGCGGUAGGGGAGACUGGAAUUCCCGGUGUAACGGUGGAAUGUGUAGAUAUCGGAAAAAAAACACCACCC
This 560-nucleotide ribosomal RNA is filed under the name Bifidobacterium adolescentis. Its description in RNAcentral is "bacterial SSU rRNA". It matches the Rfam family "Bacterial small subunit ribosomal RNA", at positions 146 to 714 of the family's 1533-position model. Lineage: Bacteria; Bacillati; Actinomycetota; Actinomycetes; Bifidobacteriales; Bifidobacteriaceae. The record is from RNAcentral.